CUGGUUGCUGGGGGUUGCCCACGUAAAAGUACCUUUUGGCAAAAUUAUUAAUCAUAUAUGUAACUGCCUUCAAACGUAGUGGUAUUUUUGUGUCCUCUGUAGGAUAUUAGUUCGUUGCAAAGUUGACUUCUAAGUAGCUACCUCACUGCCAGCAGUUACUGAUCAUGAAGUUGCCUCCGAGUUACGGGAUGAUGUGGCAGGUUAAAGCCCAGGAAACUGUGUGCACGUACAAAACAUAACACAA
This 244-nucleotide long non-coding RNA is filed under the name Struthio camelus australis. Its description in RNAcentral is "lncRNA (ENSSCUG00000000666.1)". Lineage: Eukaryota; Metazoa; Chordata; Aves; Struthioniformes; Struthionidae. The record is from RNAcentral.